CAAAUCUACCCCUAACCUAAAAAAGCCUCUGGUACUGCGUGUAAAACCACGUCUGAUCCCACACCCCAGAGGUCGGGACCCCUGGGUCAAUCGACCAGCAGGUCAGAGAAGGACUUACGGACGCUUGUGAUGUCAUAAAGUGAGAUGGAAGCUCGGUGUCUCCAUCCACGAGGAGUUGAGAAGGUGGAGCUGUUUCUGAGCCUCAGAUGGGUUCAACCCGUUCAACUCUGGAGUUCCUCUGGACGCUGGAGACGACUGCGUCUGUGCGGCGCUCCGCCAGGUUUGAGGUCCGGUUCUGGGCUCGGACGUGACGCUGGAGACGACUGCGUCUGUGCGGCGCUCCACCAGGUUUGAGGUCCGGUUCUGGGCUCGGACGUGACGCUGGAGACGACUGCGUCUGUGCGGCGCUCCGCCAGGUUUGAGGUCCGGUUCUGGGCUCGGACGUGACGCUGGAGACGACUGCGUCUGUGCGGCGCUCCACCAGGUUUGAGGUCCGGUUCUGGAGUCGGACGUGUCGCUGGAGACGACUGCGU
Molecule: long non-coding RNA, 533 nt
Organism: Oryzias javanicus (javanese ricefish)
Lineage: Eukaryota; Metazoa; Chordata; Actinopteri; Beloniformes; Adrianichthyidae
Source: Ensembl